UGCCAGCAGCCGCGGUAAUACGGAGAGGGCAAGCGUUGUUCGGAAUUAUUGGGCAUAAAGCGCACGUAGGCGGAUUGGUCAGUCGGUUGUGAAAGCCCGGGGCUCAACCCCGGAACGGCUUCCGAAACUGCCAGUCUGGAGGACGAGAGGGGAGAGUGGAACUUCUGGUGGAGCGGUGAAAUGCGUAGAUAUCAGAAGGAACACCGGUGGCGAAAGCGACUCUCUGGCUCGUUUCUGACGCUGAGGUGCGAAAGCUAGGGUAGCGAACGGGAUUAGAUA
Molecule: ribosomal RNA, 279 nt
Filed under: uncultured bacterium
Lineage: Bacteria
Description: partial 16S ribosomal RNA
Rfam family: Bacterial small subunit ribosomal RNA
Source: RNAcentral